This 425-nucleotide ribosomal RNA is filed under the name uncultured bacterium. Its description in RNAcentral is "partial 16S ribosomal RNA". It matches the Rfam family "Bacterial small subunit ribosomal RNA", at positions 354 to 796 of the family's 1533-position model. The record is from RNAcentral.
GUGGGGAAUAUUGCACAAUGGGGGAAACCCUGAUGCAGCGACGCCGCGUGAGUGAAGAAGUAUUUCGGUACAUAAAGCUCUAUCAGCAAGGAAGAAAAUGACGGUACUUGACUAAGAAGCCCCGGCUAACUACGUGCCAGCAGCCGCGGUAAUACGUAGGGGGCAAGCGUUAUCCGGAUUUACUGGGUGUAAAGGGAGCGUAGACGGUAUGGUAAGUCAGAUGUGAAAGCCCGGGGCUCAACCCCGGGACUGCAUUUGAAACUAUCAGACUAGAGUGCAGGAGAGGUAAGUGGAAUUCCUAGUGUAGCGGUGAAAUGCGUAGAUAUUAGGAGGAACACCAGUGGCGAAGGCGGCUUACUGGACUGUAACUGACGUUGAGGCUCGAAAGCGUGGGGAGCAAACAGGAUUAGAAACCCCAGUAGUCC